RNAcentral lists this unclassified non-coding RNA (166 nucleotides) under soil metagenome. Its description in RNAcentral is "partial contains 5.8S ribosomal RNA, internal transcribed spacer 2, and large subunit ribosomal RNA". The record is from RNAcentral.
AACAAGGCGUACCUGCGGACCUGCGGAGGGAUCAUUAAUAAAUGUUACUUCGGUAACUUAAUUAAUCCCUAACACCUGUGCAUCUUGUCGCUUCGGCGUCAUUUUAUAAACAUCAGUGUAAUGAAUGUAACGUAUUAUAACAAAUACAACUUUUAACAACGGAUCU